CCUACGUGGGGCAGCAGUGAGGAAUAUUGGUCAAUGGACGAGAGUCUGAACCAGCCAAGUAGCGUGAAGGAUGACUGCCCUAUGGGUUGUAAACUUCUUUUAUAAAGGAAUAAAACGAGGCACGUGUGCCUUUUUGCAUGUACUUUAUGAAUAAGGAUCGGCUAACUCCGUGCCAGCAGCCGCGGUAAUCCGGAGGAUCCGAGCGUUAUCCGGAUUUAUUGGGUUUAAAGGGAGCGUAGAUGGGUUGUUAAGUCAGUUGUGAAAGUUUGCGGCUCAACCGUAAAAUUGCAAUUGAUACUGGCAGUCUUGAGUACAGUUGAGGUAGGCGGAAUUCGUGGUGUAGCGGUGAAAUGCUUAGAUAGCACGAAGAACCCCGAUUGCGAAGGCCGCUUACUAAACUGUGACUGACAUUGAUGCUCGAAAGUGUGGGUAUCAAACAGGAUUAGAUACCCGUGUAGUC
Molecule: ribosomal RNA, 460 nt
Filed under: uncultured bacterium
Lineage: Bacteria
Description: partial 16S ribosomal RNA
Rfam family: Bacterial small subunit ribosomal RNA
Source: RNAcentral